Molecule: ribosomal RNA, 658 nt
Filed under: uncultured fungus
Lineage: Eukaryota; Fungi
Description: eukaryotic LSU rRNA
Rfam family: Eukaryotic large subunit ribosomal RNA
Source: RNAcentral
CCCGCUGAACUUAAGCAUAUCAAUAAGCGGAGGAAAAGAAACCAACAGGGAUUGCCUCAGUAACGGCGAGUGAAGCGGCAACAGCUCAAAUUUGAAAUCUGGCCUCUCGGGGUCCGAGUUGUAAUUUGUAGAGGAUGUUUCGGGUACCGCUCCGGUUUAAAUUUCUUGGAACAGAAUGUCAGAGAGGGUGAGAAUCCCGUCUUGGACCGGUGGUAGGGCCUAUGUGAAACUCCUUCGACGAGUCGAGUUGUUUGGGAAUGCAGCUCAAAAUGGGUGGUAAAUUCCAUCUAAAGCUAAAUAUUGGCGAGAGACCGAUAGCGAACAAGUACCGUGAGGGAAAGAUGAAAAGCACUUUGGAAAGAGAGUUAAACAGUACGUGUAAUUGUUGAAAGGGAAACGUUUGAAGUCAGUCGCGUCGGCCGAGACUCAGCCUUGCUUCCGCUCGGUGCACUUCUCGGUUGACGGGUCAGCAUCAAUUUCGACCGCCGGAUAAAGGUUGAGGGAACGUGACAUCUUUCGAGGUGUGUUAUAGCCCUCGAUUCGCAUACGGCGAUUGGGAUUGAGGAACUCAGCGCGCCUUUAUGGUCGGGGUAGCAACCCACGUAACGCGCUCAGGAUGCUGGCAUAAUGGCUUUAAGCGACCCGUCUUGAAACACGG